RNAcentral lists this ribosomal RNA (456 nucleotides) under uncultured soil bacterium. RNAcentral's name for it is "bacterial SSU rRNA". It matches the Rfam family "Bacterial small subunit ribosomal RNA", at positions 923 to 1379 of the family's 1533-position model. The record is from RNAcentral.
GCACAAGCGGUGGAGCAUGUGGUUUAAUUCGACGCAACGCGAAGAACCUUACCUGGGCUUGAACUGCAGUGGACCGGUGCAGAGAUGUGCCUUUUCGCAAGAACUGCUGCAGAGGUGCUGCAUGGCUGUCGUCAGCUCGUGUCGUGAGAUGUUGGGUUAAGUCCCGCAACGAGCGCAACCCUUACCCGUAGUUGCCAGCGCGUCAUGGCGGGAACUCUACGGGGACUGCCCGGGUUAACCGGGAGGAAGGUGGGGAUGAUGUCAAGUCCUCAUGGCCCUUAUGUCCAGGGCUACACACGUGCUACAAUGGGCGAUACAAACCGUUGCAAAGUCGCGAGAUGGAGCUAAUCGGAGAAAGUCGUCCUCAGUUCGGAUUGUAGUCUGCAACCCGACUACAUGAAGGUGGAAUCGCUAGUAAUCGUGUAUCAGAAUGAUACGGUGAAUACGUUCCCGGGC